AACGAACGCUGGCGGCAGGCCUAACACAUGCAAGUCGAGCGGACCCUUCGGGGUUAGCGGCGGACGGGUGAGUAACGCGUGGGAAUAUGCCCUUCUCUACGGAAUAGUGCGGGGAAACUGGGGGUAAUACCGUAUACGCCCGCUGGGGGAAAGAUUUAUCGGGGAAGGAUUAGCCCGCAUUGGAUUAGGUAGUUGGUGGGGUAAUGGCCUACCAAGCCUACGAUCCAUAGCUGGUUUGAGAGGAUGAGCAGCGACACUGGGACUGAGACACGGCCCAGACUCCUACGGGAGGCAGCAGUGGGGAAUCUUAGACAAUGGGGGCAACCCUGAUCUAGCCAUGCCGCGUGAGUGAUGAAGGCCUUAGGGUUGUAAAGCUCGUUCAGCUGGGAAGAUAAUGACGGUACCAGCAGAAGAAGCACCGGCUAACUCCGUG
RNAcentral lists this ribosomal RNA (433 nucleotides) under uncultured bacterium. Its description in RNAcentral is "partial 16S ribosomal RNA". It matches the Rfam family "Bacterial small subunit ribosomal RNA", at positions 29 to 507 of the family's 1533-position model. The record is from RNAcentral.